Non-coding RNA from Misgurnus anguillicaudatus (oriental weatherfish), 1022 nucleotides. The record is from RefSeq and is a predicted model, not a curated record. Lineage: Eukaryota; Metazoa; Chordata; Actinopteri; Cypriniformes; Cobitidae.
CAGCUUCAGCUUGAGCUACAGCGCGCUAGAGAUUUCUAGAUCUUUGCGUCAACCGGAGACGCAACGUGACACGCUCGUUGUCGGUGACGUCAUCUCGGAACUGAUGUUGCUAAACGCGAAAACUACAACUUUUAAACGCAGAUAAAAUAUAUUUUAUAAAAAAAACUGUAAAGCAAUAUUUGAGGCUACCAAAAACUAGGCCCAGUGAGAGAGAUCAGCAGCAGCAGUAUCAGGACACUCAAGAGACAGAGAUGACAGGGGUACAUUGCAACUCCCAAUGACCUGCCUGUAAACAUACACAAAUACGGGGUUGAGCACCAUGGACAGGGCUGUCGCUUGUACUGGAGACAGAAGAGAGCGCUGGGUGUCUGUUACAGCAAUGGCCUGCUCAUAGGUAAACAUCUGAAUUUGUGCCUGGUUAAACACUACCUGAAAGGAAUGCAAGUGGACACACCAGGAGCUGACUGGUCCAAAUGCUGAGCUUUGACUGAGCAGUCCUACCAUUGCCUGAAGUUGUUCCUCUGAGCAAGAUAGGCGUAAAAGGCCCAGCCACAAAACUGCCUUACUGGAAUGAGAAGAAUUAAACAUUUCACAGUUAAGUAAGACUGGUGCCUCAAUCCCACACACAAUGUGUCCUAAAGCCACAAGAGUACUUGAGUCUAACUGGGUAACACUCCUUCGGGUUGAGUUCAGCACUGUGGAGAAGAUUGACUUCAACUGCAAGUCAAACAGAAGCAUUUGGAAUGAUAAAUGAAUGCAUAACAAUACACCUUUUUAGUUUUGUUGCACAUAAAAUUUACUAGCCAUUCAUCGACAUCUCACCUGUCUGCUAGUCCAUACGUUGAUGGCUCCCAUAGCUGAAAUUGACUGGAUUUCAGACAGUUUUAGAGAGGCUAGUUCAUCAACAGAGAGCUGGGUUGCAAUUCGACCCAACUGAGAGAUCACAGAAGUGUUAAAAGAGGAGGGCGGUCCAUACACCUGCACACAGAAAAAAACAGCCAUCACUUGGGGACCACAAAAAU